RNAcentral lists this transfer RNA (71 nucleotides) under Stegodyphus mimosarum. It matches the Rfam family "tRNA". From Rfam's summary of the family: Transfer RNA (tRNA) molecules are approximately 80 nucleotides in length. Their secondary structure includes four short double-helical elements and three loops (D, anti-codon, and T loops). Lineage: Eukaryota; Metazoa; Arthropoda; Arachnida; Araneae; Eresidae. The record is from Rfam by way of RNAcentral.
GCCUUCAUGGUGUAACGGUAACACGUUCGGCGUGUAUUCCAGAGGUCUAGGUUCAAGUCCCGGCGAGGGCA